CUCAGUCUCUCACAGUAUCACUCAGACACUCACCGUCCCAAGCUUAGAACCCUAGAUCCCCAAUUCAUCAUUCAUCAAUUCGUCCUCUUGCUUUGUUGUUCCGAUCGGAUCUAAAAGCAAGACUGCUCUGCUCUCUGAUCAGUGUCUGGCGACGAGGUGUCGUUCGAGUUGUCCUGAUCUGCGGACUAUUGCGGUGCCGGAGCGAUCUCCAUGGGUUGGGUCAUGGGUCCUAGGGGUGGCUCUCAUGAUCGAAGGUUCAUCUCCGUCUGCAUUCUGAAGUUGGAUUUGGGGGUUUGGGUCGUGGGAAGAAGGAGAUGGAUGAGUACCAUUCUGGUGUGUUAAAUUGGUAUUGAUUGAUUCGGUGCACUGAUUUAAAUUAUUGUAGCUAUUAAUCUGGUGCA
Molecule: long non-coding RNA, 401 nt
Organism: Rosa chinensis
Lineage: Eukaryota; Viridiplantae; Streptophyta; Magnoliopsida; Rosales; Rosaceae
Exons: 2
Source: RefSeq, a predicted model, not a curated record